AGAGUUUGAUCCUGGCUCAGGAUGAACGCUGGCGGUAUGCUUAACACAUGCAAGUCGAACGGGUUCUUCGGAACAAGUGGCGGACGGGUGAGUAACGCGUGAGAAUCUGGCUUCAGGGUGGGGAUAACAGGGCGAAAGUGCUGCUAAUACCCGAUGUGCCGAGAGGUGAAAGAUUUAUCACCUGAAGAUGAGCUCGCGUCUGAUUAGCUAGUUGGUGAGGUAAGAGCUUACCAAGGCGACGAUCAGUAGCUGGUCUGAGAGGAUGACCAGCCACACUGGGACUGAGACACGGCCCAGACUCCUACGGGAGGCAGCAGUGGGGAAUUUUCCGCAAUGGGCGCAAGCCUGACGGAGCAAUACCGCGUGAGGGAGGAAGGCCUUUGGGUUGUAAACCUCUUUUCUCAGGGAAGAUGAUGACGGUACCUGAGGAAUCAGCCUCGGCUAACUCCGUGCCAGCCGCCGCGGUAAUAC
Molecule: ribosomal RNA, 471 nt
Filed under: uncultured bacterium
Lineage: Bacteria
Description: bacterial SSU rRNA
Rfam family: Bacterial small subunit ribosomal RNA
Source: RNAcentral